Molecule: ribosomal RNA, 1008 nt
Filed under: Triticum aestivum (bread wheat)
Lineage: Eukaryota; Viridiplantae; Streptophyta; Magnoliopsida; Poales; Poaceae
Description: partial small subunit ribosomal RNA
Source: RNAcentral
AUGCAUAUCACGAAGAACGUGUGCGAGAGUCUGCUUGGUACCCUGCUCAACAUGCCAGAGAGGACCAAAGAUGGGCCGAAAGCAAGGGCAGACUUGAAAUCAAUGGGCAUCAGGCAGGAGCUUCACGCUAUAUAUGAUGAUGAUGAUGAUGAUGAUGAUGAUGAUGAUGAGGCGAAGCAGGACACGGAAAGUCGUCGCAAAGGCAAAAAGGCCAAAAAGACCGGAAAUGACUACCCUCCCGCGUGCUUCACUCUAAGUCAGGAGGAGAUCGAGCAGUUUUUCACCUGCCUCGUAGGAGUAAAACUUCCUUACGGUUACGCGGGGAAGAUAAGCAGAUACCUAGACCCAGCGAAGCUGAAGUUCAGCGGGAUGAAGUCUCACGACUGUCACGUGCUGAUGACGCAGAUACUUCUAGUUGCAAUCAGUGGGAUCAUGGACGUGCACGUCCGUGAAACCCUAUUUGGCCUAUGCAACUUUUUCGAUGUCAUCUCUCGGAAGUCUGUUGGCGUGAGGCAACUCAGAAGGCUACAGGAAGAGAUCGUGGUGAUACUAUGCGAGCUUGAGAUGUACUUCCCGCCCGCAUUCUUCGACGUUAUGGUGCAUCUGCUAGUCCAUAUCGUGGACGAUAUCAUCCAACUCGGGCCGACAUUCCUGCACAACAUGAUGCCGUUCGAAAGGAUGAAUGGUGUCAUCAAAGGAUACGUUCGCAACAUGUCACGUCCAGAGGGAAGCAUAGCCAGGGGCUUUCUGACCGAAGAGUGCAUCUCCUACUGCACGAAUUAUUUAGGCACCGAGAACCCCGUUGGUUUGCCCGUCAACAGGCACCUCGGCAGGCUCACUGGAUGGGGUCACCGUGAGGGUCGCCGCGAAAUGCAUGUCGACUUCGAGAGUCGACUCGCCGACUUUGAAAGAGCAAACCUAGUCGCGCUACAACACAUAGACGUGGUCGAUCCUUGGGUGGUAGAGCACAAAACCUUUAUUAAGAAGACGUACAAUGACCGAGGCUAA